This 774-nucleotide ribosomal RNA is filed under the name uncultured Neocallimastigales. RNAcentral's name for it is "partial large subunit ribosomal RNA". It matches the Rfam family "Eukaryotic large subunit ribosomal RNA", at positions 23 to 643 of the family's 3401-position model. The record is from RNAcentral. Lineage: Eukaryota; Fungi; Neocallimastigomycota; Neocallimastigomycetes; Neocallimastigales.
AGAGAUGUGUGAUGACGCAUAUCAAUAAGCGGAGGAAAAGAAACUAACAAGGAUUCCCUUAGUAACGGCGAGUGAAGCGGGAAGAGCUCAAAUUUGAAAUCUUCAAGGUUCUACCUUGACGAAUUGUAGUUUAUAGAAGUGUUUUCUGUUAGUAGAGUGGCAAAAGUUCUUUGGAAUAGGACAUCAUAGAGGGUGAGAAUCCCGUAUUUGGUCAUUCCUCCUAGCGUUGUGAUACACUUUCAACGAGUCGGAUUGUUUGGGAAUGCAGUCCAAAAUGGGUGGUAAAUUUCAUCUAAAGCUAAAUAUUGGCGAGAGACCGAUAGCGAACAAGUACCGUGAGGGAAAGAUGAAAAGAACUUUGAAAAGAGAGUUAAACAGUACGUGAAAUUGUCAAAAGGGAAGCGUUUGACACCAGUGUUGUUUUUCCGAAAAUCAAUUACGAAUGUUUUAUUUUUGAGAAGUUAUGACUUCAUCGGCUUGCUUCUCUCUUUAUGAAACUUUCUUAAUGCACUUUUCGGUUAACAAGUCAACAUCAAUUUCUUUUGUUGUAAAAGGGUAUGAGGAAGGUGGCUUUCUUUUCGGAGAAAGUGUUUAUAGCCUUGUACCUCUGCAAUCGGAGAGAUUGAGGUCUGCAGCGUAGAUCCUUCGGGGUUAGAUACAUUUGUGCUAAGUUAUAGCUUUUCAUAGACAACUUGUUGACUAUGUUUAGUCUUGUAGCUUACUCGCUUAUGCUAUUUUACCUACGCUUAGGAUGUUGAAGAUGUAGCACAUCAU